UACGUAGGGUGCGAGCGUUGUCCGGAAUUAUUGGGCGUAAAGGGCUCGUAGGCGGUUUGUCGCAUCGGGCGUGAAAACUCAGGGCUUAACCCUGAGCCUGCUUCCGAUACGGGCAGACUAGAGGUAUGCAGGGGAGAACGGAAUUCCUGGUGUAGCGGUGAAAUGCGCAGAUAUCAGGAGGAACACCGGUGGCGAAGGCGGUUCUCUGGGCAUUACCUGACGCUGAGGAGCGAAAGUGUGGGGAGCGAACAGG
This 253-nucleotide ribosomal RNA is filed under the name uncultured bacterium. Its description in RNAcentral is "partial 16S ribosomal RNA". It matches the Rfam family "Bacterial small subunit ribosomal RNA", at positions 524 to 776 of the family's 1533-position model. The record is from RNAcentral.